Molecule: ribosomal RNA, 269 nt
Filed under: uncultured bacterium
Lineage: Bacteria
Description: partial 16S ribosomal RNA
Rfam family: Bacterial small subunit ribosomal RNA
Source: RNAcentral
UACGUAGGGUGCAAGCGUUGUCCGGAAUUAUUGGGCGUAAAGAGCUCGUAGGCGGUUUGUCGCGUCUGCUGUGAAAACUCAGGGCUUAACCCUGAGCCUGCAGUGGGUACGGGCAGACUAGAGUGUGGUAGGGGAGAUCGGAAUUCCUGGUGUAGCGGUGGAAUGCGUAGAGAUCCGGAAGAACACCGGUGGCGAAGGCGGCCCGCUGGGCAGGAAGGCUCGCAAGAGCCGGCUGACGCUGAGGCGCGACAGCGUGGGGAGCAAACAGG